RNAcentral lists this unclassified non-coding RNA (322 nucleotides) under Hevea brasiliensis (rubber tree). Lineage: Eukaryota; Viridiplantae; Streptophyta; Magnoliopsida; Malpighiales; Euphorbiaceae. The record is from RNAcentral.
GAAACAAUCAUCAGAAAUUCCAUAAACAACAUAGUAAGAAAUAAAAAUGAGCUUCAGUAUUGAAGGUAAUAACAUCAUAAAACAAAAUUCUUAUAAAUUCUAGUCCCGAAAAUGACAAAAUCCUCCUAGAAGCUAUAAAGAUACCAAGUUGUGCCACAAUUAACCUUCGAUGUCUUAGGCUGAUGCUGCUGCUCCUUUGUUCCUUGGCGCUGCUUCAGUACCUUCUCUGAAACCACUCUUAAAUCUGCGAGGAACAUGGCGCAAAUAUCUCAUCCGCCCAGUUCCAGUGGUCUUCCUUCGGAUCGCCUUGACGCUCCAGUUA